Molecule: ribosomal RNA, 209 nt
Filed under: uncultured bacterium
Lineage: Bacteria
Description: partial 16S ribosomal RNA
Rfam family: Bacterial small subunit ribosomal RNA
Source: RNAcentral
UACGUAGGCGGUUUAAUUAAGUCAGAUGUGAAAGCCCCGGGCUUAACCUGGGAACUGCAUUUGAUACUGGUAAACUAGAGUAUGGUAGAGGGGGGUAGAAUUCCUAGUGUAGCGGUGAAAUGCGUAGAUAUUAGGAGGAAUACCAGUGGCGAAGGCGGCCCCCCUGGACCAAUACUGACGCUGAGGUACGAAAGCGUGGGUAGCGAACA